GAUGAACGCUGGCGGCGUGCCUAAUACAUGCAAGUCGAGCGAACGGACGAGAAGCUUGCUUCUCUGAUGUUAGCGGCGGACGGGUGAGUAACACGUGGAUAACCUACCUAUCAGACUGGGAUAACUUCGGGAAACCGGAGCUAAUACCGGAUAAUAUUUUGAACCGCAUGGUUCAAUAGUGAAAGACGGUCUUGCUGUCACUUAUAGAUGGAUCCGCGCUGCAUUAGCUAGUUGGUAAGGUAACGGCUUACCAAGGCAACGAUGCAUAGCCGACCUGAGAGGGUGAUCGGCCACACUGGAGCUGAGACGCGGUCCAGACUCCUACGGGAGGCAGCAGUAGGGAAUCUUCCGCAGUGGGCGAAAGCCUGACGGAGCAACGCCGCGUGAGUGAUGAAGGUCUUCGGAUCGUAAAACUCUGUUAUUAGGGAAGAACAUAUGUGUAAGUAACUGUGCACAUCUUGACGGUACCUAAUCAGAAAGCAACGGCUAACUACGUG
RNAcentral lists this ribosomal RNA (497 nucleotides) under uncultured bacterium. RNAcentral's name for it is "partial 16S ribosomal RNA". It matches the Rfam family "Bacterial small subunit ribosomal RNA", at positions 28 to 507 of the family's 1533-position model. The record is from RNAcentral.